Molecule: ribosomal RNA, 220 nt
Filed under: Escherichia coli
Lineage: Bacteria; Pseudomonadati; Pseudomonadota; Gammaproteobacteria; Enterobacterales; Enterobacteriaceae
Description: partial 23S ribosomal RNA
Rfam family: Bacterial large subunit ribosomal RNA
Source: RNAcentral
CCAAUGGCACUGCCCGGUAGCUAAAUGCGGAAGAGAUAAGUGCUGAAAGCAUCUAAGCACGAAACUUGCCCCGAGAUGAGUUCUCCCUGACCCUUUAAGGGUCCUGAAGGAACGUUGAAGACGACGACGUUGAUAGGCCGGGUGUGUAAGCGCAGCGAUGCGUUGAGCUAACCGGUACUAAUGAACCGUGAGGCUUAACCUUACAACGCCGAAGGUGUUU